This is a non-coding RNA of Phthorimaea operculella (potato tuberworm), 72 nucleotides long. The record is from the annotation of a GenBank genome assembly. NCBI's taxonomy places the organism in Eukaryota, Metazoa, Arthropoda, Insecta, Lepidoptera, Gelechiidae.
GCGCCCGUAGCUCAGUUGGUAGAGCGGUGGGACCGUAUUCCACGGUCCCGGGUUCAAGUCCCGGCAGACGCU